UUUUUGGAAAUAAUUUAAAGUCUAAUCUGCCCACUGAUAAAUAUAUUAAAGGGCUGCAGUAUUUUGACUGUACAAAGGUAGCAUAAUCAUUAGUCUCUUAAUUGGUGACUUGUAUGAAAGAUUGGAUGAAAUAUAAACUGUCUCUAAUUAAUUUAUAAAAUUUAAUUUUUUAGUAAAAAAGCUAAAAUAAUUUUAAAAGACGAGAAGACCCUAUAGAGUUUCAUAAUUUAUUUGAUUAUUAUUAAUAUGUAAAUUUUAAAAUUAAAAUUAAAUAAAUUAUUUUGUUGGGGUGACAGAAAAAUUAAAUUAACUUUUUUAAAUAAUUAACAUUAAUUUAUGAAUAAAUGAUCCAUUAAUAUUGAUUAAAAGAAAAAAUUACCUUAGGGAUAACAGCGUAAUUUUUUUUUUUAGUUCAAAUAGGAAAAAAAGUUUGCGACCUCGAUGUUGGAUUAAGAUAAAAUUUAAAUG
This 468-nucleotide ribosomal RNA is filed under the name Papilio machaon (common yellow swallowtail). Its description in RNAcentral is "partial large subunit ribosomal RNA". Lineage: Eukaryota; Metazoa; Arthropoda; Insecta; Lepidoptera; Papilionidae. The record is from RNAcentral.